RNAcentral lists this transfer RNA (75 nucleotides) under Clostridia bacterium. Its description in RNAcentral is "tRNA-Gln". It matches the Rfam family "tRNA". From Rfam's summary of the family: Transfer RNA (tRNA) molecules are approximately 80 nucleotides in length. The record is from RNAcentral. Lineage: Bacteria; Bacillati; Bacillota; Clostridia.
AGGGGUAUCGCCAAGCGGUAAGGCAAAGGACUUUGACUCCUUCACUCGCAAGUUCAAAUCUUGCUACCCCUGCCA